This is a long non-coding RNA of Chenopodium quinoa (quinoa), 1195 nucleotides long. RefSeq lists it as uncharacterized. The transcript has 4 exons. Lineage: Eukaryota; Viridiplantae; Streptophyta; Magnoliopsida; Caryophyllales; Amaranthaceae. The record is from RefSeq and is a predicted model, not a curated record.
CUACUACAAAGUUGGCCUAAUGUAACACCUUGUGGUAACACUAUAUAAGUCAAGAUAUAAAUAGAUAUUUAGGUAGCACUUUUGUAACACUUAGAUAAUAGGUAGCACUUGUAUGUAACACAUAUGUAAUAUGAAACACUUCAAAGUAAUACUUUACAUAGAGUAACACUUUCAUGUAUUUGUAAAAAAAAAAAAAAAAACACGACCUUUGAAUUGCGUAGCGCUCUCUCUCUCUCCUCUCUUUCACUUUUCCCUCUUUUCUCCAUCCAUCUCUGCGAUCCACACUUUCCAUCUUCUUCAUCAAUGGAGAGGCUCAAAGUCUCUCUGAAAUUUUACCCCAAUUUUUAGAUCCUUACUCCUCACCAAACUCUAGCUUCUAAACAAGAACUCAACAACCAAACCUAAACCCUAGCUUCGAUUCAAUCGAACUAUCAAACCGCAAGAAAACAACCGAAAAUACGGUUGACGAGAUCAAUUAGGCGGCGAAGAAGAGACGACGAGCCAUAGAAAACGUCGUCUUCGUAUGAUGCAGCUACUGCUGCUGCCGGAAAUCCCUCCCUCUGUCCUCAAUUUUCACUCAACUGAUCCUAAUUUUCAUUCUUACUCUUCAAUUUCCACAAUAUUAGCAAAAAUAUUGUCUAAACAACAUGAUUUCUUCUAGUGAGCUCAAAUCCAUCGGAUUUUAUCGCUCUUCAACAAUGGUUAUUAAGAACACGAACAACAGGGGCUUGCAAAAGAGUGGCAUGAAGUAUGAUCUCGAUUAAUGCUUGUCACGUGGUUCUUGAACCUGAGUCUCUUCCUUUUGGAUCAAUUUCUGGACUAUCCAUUGAUCAAUUUAGAAAUUAUAAUCUUGAUAGGGUAUAUUCAAAUUCAUCUUGACUCUUAUAUCUGCAUUAUAUCAGCAAUAACAUUUGUUCAUAAUUAAGGACACAACAACCCUAUAUCCAAUACUCUUUAUCCAACCUACUAACAAAACUUGUGAAGCUAUAAAGCCAGUACUCGCAAAAAGGGAGGCAACAGAGGAAGGAGCUGAGGAGACUGUGAAUGAUCAUGGCCUAGUUCAGCACUGCUGCUACUUAUGUUGUGCUUUACUGCUAGCCUUAAGCAUUGUAACUUGUUUAUUUUUUAUAUUUUUUUUUGAUGAAAUUGUAACACUACAAGCAUUUAUUAAUAAAGAUAUCUAAGUUUAUAUAUA